This 86-nucleotide transfer RNA is filed under the name bacterium. Its description in RNAcentral is "tRNA-Leu". It matches the Rfam family "tRNA". Rfam says of the family: Transfer RNA (tRNA) molecules are approximately 80 nucleotides in length. The record is from RNAcentral.
GCCCGAGUGGCGGAAUGGCAGACGCAGCGGACUCAAAAUCCGCCGCCCUCACAGGCGUGUGGGUUCGACUCCCACCUCGGGCACCA